This 253-nucleotide ribosomal RNA is filed under the name uncultured bacterium. RNAcentral's name for it is "partial 16S ribosomal RNA". It matches the Rfam family "Bacterial small subunit ribosomal RNA", at positions 524 to 776 of the family's 1533-position model. The record is from RNAcentral.
UACAGAGGGUGCGAGCGUUGUUCGGAAUUAUUGGGCGUAAAGGGCGCGUAGGCGGUGCGGUAAGUCACCUGUGAAAUCUCCUGGCUCAACUGGGAGCUUGCAGGCGAAACUGCCGUGCUGGAGUGUGGGAGAGGUGCGUGGAAUUCCUGGUGUAGCGGUGAAAUGCGUAGAUAUCGAGAGGAACACCAGUGGCGAAGGCGAGUCCCUGGACAACACCUGACACUGAGGCACGAAAGCUAGGGGAGCAAACAGG